This is a long non-coding RNA of Drosophila santomea, 1150 nucleotides long. RefSeq lists it as uncharacterized. Lineage: Eukaryota; Metazoa; Arthropoda; Insecta; Diptera; Drosophilidae. The record is from RefSeq and is a predicted model, not a curated record. The transcript has 2 exons.
UUGAGCUGCGUCUAUGUCUCUGGAGUCUGUAUGCUUAAUCUCAACUUUGUAGCUUUUACUCUACGAGAAACGGGUAUAAAAAAUGAGCUUAUUAUAUGCAUAACAGACCAAACCAUUGGUGUUUAAAGUUUCAUUUUUAAAUGCAUAUGUAUGUAUGUAUCUGUAACAUCUGACUUUAUGUCACCUAUUUAAAAAAAACCGGUCUAGAGUGUCAAUGAUUUUUCGACAAUUAUACGUUUAAUUUUUAUUAUACGUGAUAUAUGUACAGUGCCUCUCAACUAAAUAUGUUUGACUUUUUUCAAAUCAUGAUUUUGUUCUCCAUAAAGGGAAUUCCGAUUUAAAUAAAUUUUGUUGUAUAAAGAAUACUGUUAUUUUUGAAAUAGCAAAGUUUUGGUUCUGUCAGUUUUGUUUUUAUUAUUUUUUCAAAAACAUAAAACAAAAUGUUCUUUGUAUUUGGCUCAACUGAAUAGGUUUUACACUUUUGACUUCUCUUAUUGUUUAACCGUGGAUUGAAAAGAGUUGAAUUCUAUAAUAUUCUAUUCUAUAAUUUAAGGCAUUUAUUCGGGCAAGCUCCGGUAAUCGAAUUCGUAAGAAUUUUACGAUUUGUAAAACGGGCACUUCUGCCUGGUUAUCCCAAAGGUGCCAUACUGUUGGUGCAACGAAACAGGCACGUAAAAAUACUUAUAAUUUAAUUACUUAAAUGCUUAAAGUGCAGUAAAAAAGUAAUUGCAAACAUCGGAAUUAAAACUGUGAAAAAGGUGGCAGCUCUAGAUUUUCUCAAGCCCUCCAAUUUCUGCCUUCUCCUGGCUUCAAAACAAACAAUCGGAAACAUAAAAGGCAUUUUUUCACGUGUUUUAGCAGCAAGAAGCGAUGAGAAACGAAACAUUUUGAUAGCAAAAAUUUCGCCCAAAUCGAAAAAAAACGAAUUUGUAGCAUGCCUGAUAAACUUUAAUCAAUUUUAAAAAAGUUCUGUCCAACAUCCGAAAGCUUACGCUUCGACAAUAAAACAUUGCUUCGGCUAUAGCCGCCAGCGAUUAGGGAGAAAAGUAUGUAGCUCCCCAACAUAACCAUCCUAAGAAGACUUGACUAUAACCAAGUUGCUUUUGCACUGCAAGGAAUCACGGACAACCGCUAACGCCGCUGGAUCACA